UGUUAAAAAUUUAAUCCAUUUGUACGGUUAAAAAUUAGUGUGAUUGACAGAGUAACAUGUGACAUUCUAUAUAUAUAUCUCAUGUUGAUGUACAAUGAUCAAUUUUUAAUAGUAGAAAUGAAUUUAAUUUUUAACA
Molecule: microRNA precursor, 136 nt
Filed under: Gossypium hirsutum (cotton)
Lineage: Eukaryota; Viridiplantae; Streptophyta; Magnoliopsida; Malvales; Malvaceae
Description: MIR7502 microRNA precursor family
Rfam family: MIR7502 microRNA precursor family
Source: Rfam by way of RNAcentral